Molecule: long non-coding RNA, 1931 nt
Organism: Oryctolagus cuniculus (rabbit)
Lineage: Eukaryota; Metazoa; Chordata; Mammalia; Lagomorpha; Leporidae
Source: Ensembl
CGGGGGCCCCCUGAAAAAAAAAUCCCUCCUUUCUUACCCCAAAGCUCCACCUUUUUUCAAGACUUUGGCUCUUAAAUAAUUACGUCUUCAAAAACAUCAUCUCUCAAUAAAAAUGCAAGUAUGAGCAAGGGUUACACUUGAGAGGCAGAGAGAACGGCUGGGCUAACCCUAAACAGCCCCUAACCACAAAUGAUUUCUUUGUAAUUCUCAGCUCACAUGAGAUUCCUGUUUCUGCUAUAGACCAUUUCUGUCUUUCUAAUGCUUGGGGAAUAUGAUAAUUUGUGCAUUUUCAAUCUCCAAUUUAAAAAAAUUAUUUAUUUAUUUGAAAGGCAGGAUGACAGAGGAGGGAAGAGACAGACAAAGGGAGGGAGAGAGGGAGAGAAUCAUUCCCCAAGUGGCUGUACCAGCCAGGGCUAGGUCAAGCAUAAGCCGGGAGCCAGGAACUCCAUCUGGGUCUCCUGUGUAGGUGGCGGGGGCCACAUACGUGGGCUGUUAUCUGCUGCCUUCUCAGGCACAUUAGCGUGGAGUUGGAUCAGAAGCUGAGCAGCCAGGACUCCAAAAAGGCAUUCUGGUAUGGGAUGCUGGUGCUGCAAGCCGUGGCUUAGUGUGUGCCACAAUUGUGAACCCUCGAUUUUACUUUUAGAUGACAAACUCACUGAAGGCAAAGGUGGAUUUGCACUUUUUGUAUCUCCCCGACAUCUGCUAUCCUGUCCACCUGUAAAAUGAACAUAUUGAGGGGAUGUCCCAAGCACAGAAAGAUCCUAGGAUGGACAUAUUAGGAGAAACUGUGGCUAAAAUAGGUCUUUAUGGCUGCUAGUAUUUUACCUAUUUGGGAGAAUGGUUUUAUUUUGCAUAAAGAGUUGUUAGCUCCAAGGACUUCUAUCCCACUCCAUCUUCCCCUUCUCCGUAAGGACACCUUUGAAUUCACCCCAGCUUUCACCCAAAACGUAUCCCGAGCUCCCCAUACUGGCUUGGCAACCACCAUAAGCCGUCUCUUGGUUCCCCCUGGAAACUGGAGUACCUUGCUUUCUUUCUACCUUUACCAGAGCGCCCUCUGCUGGAAGUACCUAGAAGCAGUUAUCAAAAUUGGGCUUGGAGAAUUGGCAUUCCCAUCCACUCACACCCUCCCCACCAACAGCCGGGAAGGAUGCCUUCUUUUUCUCACUGUGGGGGGAAAGAGGAACAUUUCCGUUCCCUUUUUGAUUUCCCACUUCCCUCUCCUCUGUGAAGACGGAACCCUACCCGAUUGUGCCUCUUCACAAUUUGGAGGAUGUUCCUGUGUAUCUCAGCCUUUCUCACGCCACUUCAGGAUGCUGACUAUGGAUCUAUAGCUCUAGUCCAAACCUCCAGGGUUUCAUGAGACAUGGCUACUUGGAUAUCUCAGAGGCACUUCAAACUCAAUGCAUACAAUAUGGGAAUCAUCUUUCAAGCCUGCUUCUCUUCUGUGUUUUGACUGGACGUUUAUCCACUCAGUUACCAAGUGUGAAACUUGGGAGUCUUGCUACCUUGGCCCAUUUCCUCACCCCCUACAUUGCAUCAGCUGGCAAGUCCUACCACAUCUAUCUUCCCAAUGAGUUUUCCAGCCAUUCCCUCCUGUACAUCCCCCUACCACUCCCUCAUCACAUUUUGAUUUGGGAUUACCUGCUAAUUCCUCUAUGCCCAGAAAGCCAGCUGUCCCCUCACUACUGGCAGUUCACAUCUUACAAAAUUCUUAGAUAGCAGUGGAAGAUGGCCCAAGUCCUUGGGUCCCUACACCCACAUGGGAGACACAGAAGAAACUCCUGACUCCUGGCUUCAGAUUGGCCCAGCUCCGUCUGUUGUAGCCAUUUGGGGAGUAAGCCAGUGGAUGGAAGACCUCUCUCUGUGUCUCUACAUCUCUGUAACUCUGUCUUUCAAAUAAAUAAAAUAAAUCUUUUAAAAAAAUUCUUGGU